This 433-nucleotide ribosomal RNA is filed under the name uncultured bacterium. RNAcentral's name for it is "bacterial SSU rRNA". It matches the Rfam family "Bacterial small subunit ribosomal RNA", at positions 29 to 507 of the family's 1533-position model. The record is from RNAcentral.
AACGAACGCUGGCGGCAGGCCUAACACAUGCAAGUCGAGCGAGACCUUCGGGUCUAGCGGCGGACGGGUUAGUAACGCGUGGGAACGUGCCCUUCUCUGCGGAAUAGCCACUGGAAACGGUGAGUAAUACCGCAUACGCCCUUCGGGGGAAAGAUUUAUCGGAGAAGGAUCGGCCCGCGUUAGAUUAGAUAGUUGGUGGGGUAACGGCCUACCAAGUCUACGAUCUAUAGCUGGUUUUAGAGGAUGAUCAGCAACACUGGGACUGAGACACGGCCCAGACUCCUACGGGAGGCAGCAGUGGGGAAUCUUGGACAAUGGGCGCAAGCCUGAUCCAGCCAUGCCGCGUGAGUGAUGAAGGCCUUAGGGUCGUAAAGCUCUUUCGCCAGAGAUGAUAAUGACAGUAUCUGGUAAAGAAGUCCCGGCUAACUCCGUG